Molecule: ribosomal RNA, 465 nt
Filed under: Vreelandella stevensii
Lineage: Bacteria; Pseudomonadati; Pseudomonadota; Gammaproteobacteria; Oceanospirillales; Halomonadaceae
Description: partial 16S ribosomal RNA
Rfam family: Bacterial small subunit ribosomal RNA
Source: RNAcentral
CCUACGGGAGGCUGCAGUGGGGAAUAUUGGACAAUGGGGGCAACCCUGAUCCAGCCAUGCCGCGUGUGUGAAGAAGGCCCUCGGGUUGUAAAGCACUUUCAGUGAGGAAGAACGCCUGGUGGUUAAUACCCAUCGGGAAAGACAUCACUCACAGAAGAAGCACCGGCUAACUCCGUGCCAGCAGCCGCGGUAAUACGGAGGGUGCGAGCGUUAAUCGGAAUUACUGGGCGUAAAGCGCGCGUAGGUGGCUUGAUAAGCCGGUUGUGAAAGCCCCGGGCUCAACCUGGGAACGGCAUCCGGAACUGUCAAGCUAGAGUGCAGGAGAGGAAGGUAGAAUUCCCGGUGUAGCGGUGAAAUGCGUAGAGAUCGGGAGGAAUACCAGUGGCGAAGGCGGCCCUCUGGACUGACACUGACACUGAGGUGCGAAAGCGUGGGUAGCAAACAGGAUUAGAUACCCCUGUAGUC